AAUGUGUGGCAUACGGCUCAGUAACACGUAGUCAACAUGCCCAGGGGACGUGGAUAACCUCGGGAAACUGAGGAUAAACCGCGAUAGGUCACUACUUCUGGAAUGGGUAAUGACCCAAACCUAUAUGGCCCCUGGAUUGGACUGCGGCCGAUCAGGCUGUUGGUGAGGUAAUGGCCCACCAAACCUGUAACCGGUACGGGCUCUGAGAGGAGGAGCCCGGAGAUGGGCACUGAGACAAGGGCCCAGGCCCUAUGGGGCGCAGCAGGCGCGAAACCUCUGCAAUAGGCGAAAGCUUGACAGGGUUACUCUGAGUGAUUUCCGUUAAGGAGAUCUUUUGGCACCUCUAAAAAUGGUGCAGAAUAAGGGGUGGGCAAGUCUGGUGUCAGCCGCCGCGGUAAUACCAGCACCCCGAGUGGUCGGGACGUUUAUUGGGCCUAAAGCAUCCGUAGCCGGUUCUACAAGUCUUCCGUUAAAUCCACCUGCUCAACAGAUGGGCUGCGGAAGAUACUAUGGAGCUAGGAGGCGGGAGAGGCAAGCGGUACUCGAUGGGUAGGGGUAAAAUCCGUUGAUCCAUUGAAGACCACCAGUGGCGAAGGCGGCUUGCCAGAACGCGCUCGACGGUGAGGGAUGAAAGCUGGGGGAGCAAACCGGAUUAGAUACCCGGGUAGUCCCAGCUGUAAACGA
This 684-nucleotide ribosomal RNA is filed under the name uncultured Nitrososphaerota archaeon. RNAcentral's name for it is "bacterial SSU rRNA". It matches the Rfam family "Archaeal small subunit ribosomal RNA", at positions 73 to 760 of the family's 1478-position model. Lineage: Archaea; Thermoproteati; Nitrososphaerota. The record is from RNAcentral.